AGGGGCUCAUAUCAAGUGUAAAUUUUGAUAGAUCUAUCACAGUGGGAAAAAACACCAAUCCAAUUUGGAGGGACUGUAAGAGAAAGAGAAAGAGGAAAAGAAGAAGACAGAAACUGAGAUACCAAACCAAGACCCUUUUGUUGAAAAAGGGUACAGAGGCGGCACUUCAACUUCUGACCUUAGUAUUUUUUUUUUUUUUUUUUGGGAAUAUUGAUAGAAAUUAGGGUCGAUAAAAAGGGUAUUUCCCACUAAAGGCCUCUCUCAUUGUAAUCAUCGC
This 277-nucleotide long non-coding RNA is filed under the name Medicago truncatula (barrel medic). Its description in RNAcentral is "lncRNA gene10731". The record is from RNAcentral. Lineage: Eukaryota; Viridiplantae; Streptophyta; Magnoliopsida; Fabales; Fabaceae.